Molecule: ribosomal RNA, 158 nt
Filed under: uncultured Desulfobacteraceae bacterium
Lineage: Bacteria; Pseudomonadati; Thermodesulfobacteriota; Desulfobacteria; Desulfobacterales; Desulfobacteraceae
Description: partial 16S ribosomal RNA
Rfam family: Bacterial small subunit ribosomal RNA
Source: RNAcentral
CUACAAUGGACGGUACAGAGGGUCGCAAUAUCGCGAGAUGGAGCCAAUCCCAAAAAGCCGUUCCCAGUUCGGAUUGGAGUCUGCAACUCGACUCCAUGAAGUUGGAAUCGCUAGUAAUCGCGGAUCAGCAUGCCGCGGUGAAUACGUUCCCGGGCCUU